UCAAAUGAAUUGACGGGGAGCACCACAACGGGUGGAGCUUGCGGUUUAAUUGGAUUCAACGCCGGAAAUCUUACCGGGACCGACAGCGAUAUGAAGGCCAGGCUGAAGACUUUGCCGGAUUAGCUGAGAGGUGGUGCAUGGCCGUCGUCAGUUCGUACUGUGAAGCAUCCUGUUAAGUCAGGCAACGAGCGAGACCCACGCCCACAGUUGCCAGCGUACUCUCCGGAGUGACGGGUACACUGUGGGGACCGCCGCUGCUAAAGCGGAGGAAGGAAUGGGCAACGGUAGGUCAGUAUGCCCCGAAUAUCCCGGGCUACACGCGAGCUACAAUGGUUGGUACAAUGGGUAUCUACCCCGAAAGGGGAUGGAAAUCUCCUAAAGCCAAUCUUAGUCCGGAUUGAGGGCUGCAACUCGCCCUCAUGAAGCUGGAAUCCGUAGUAAUCGCGUUUCAACAGAACGCGGUGAAUACGUCCCUGCUCCUU
This 482-nucleotide ribosomal RNA is filed under the name uncultured Methanosaeta sp. RNAcentral describes it as "bacterial SSU rRNA". It matches the Rfam family "Archaeal small subunit ribosomal RNA", at positions 856 to 1338 of the family's 1478-position model. Lineage: Archaea; Methanobacteriati; Methanobacteriota; Methanomicrobia; Methanotrichales; Methanotrichaceae. The record is from RNAcentral.